Lolium rigidum is the source of this 268-nucleotide long non-coding RNA. RefSeq lists it as uncharacterized. NCBI's taxonomy places the organism in Eukaryota, Viridiplantae, Streptophyta, Magnoliopsida, Poales, Poaceae. The record is from RefSeq and is a predicted model, not a curated record. The transcript has 3 exons.
CCCGCCGUGGCGCCGUCGCCGGGGCCGGCGCCGACUCCUCCUCCUCCUCCCCCGUCGAGCAACCAUGCGUCAGGCUGUGGGAGUGGUGGCUGGCGAGGGUGGAAGGCGAAGAGCGGAAGCUCGCAGUCUCCGGGUACACUGAAAAGAACGACGCGUUCACCUCUGCGCCCAUAGCAAAGCGUUACGAGCCUCUUACGAUUGAAGAUGAGGACGGGGUUGUGGUGCUCCUUGUUGGUUCAUUGAGCUUGCCACGAAUGCAUGAAAAUGG